UGCAGUCGAGCGAUGGAUUGAGAGCUUGCUCUCAAGAAGUUAGCGGCGGACGGGUGAGUAACACGUGGGUAACCUGCCCAUAAGACUGGGAUAACUCCGGGAAACCGGGGCUAAUACCGGAUAAUAUUUUGAACUGCAUGGUUCGAAAUUGAAAGGCGGCUUCGGCUGUCACUUAUGGAUGGACCCGCGUCGCAUUAGCUAGUUGGUGAGGUAACGGCUCACCAAGGCAACGAUGCGUAGCCGACCUGAGAGGGUGAUCGGCCACACUGGGACUGAGACACGGCCCAGACUCCUACGGGAGGCAGCAGUAGGGAAUCUUCCGCAAUGGACGAAAGUCUGACGGAGCAACGCCGCGUGAGUGAUGAAGGCUUUCGGGUCGUAAAACUCUGUUGUUAGGGAAGAACAAGUGCUAGUUGAAUAAGCUGGCACCUUGACGGUACCUAACCAGAAAGCCACGGCUAACUACGUGCCAGCAGCCGCGGUAAUACGUAGGUGGCAAGCGUUAUCCGGAAUUAUUGGGCGUAAAGCGCGCGCAGGUGGUUUCUUAAGUCUGAUGUGAAAGCCCACGGCUCAACCGUGGAGGGUCAUUGGAAACUGGGAGACUUGAGUGCAGAAGAGGAAAGUGGAAUUCCAUGUGUAGCGGUGAAAUGCGUAGAGAUAUGGAGGAACACCAGUGGCGAAGGCGACUUUCUGGU
RNAcentral lists this ribosomal RNA (695 nucleotides) under Bacillus sp. (in: firmicutes). RNAcentral's name for it is "bacterial SSU rRNA". It matches the Rfam family "Bacterial small subunit ribosomal RNA", at positions 56 to 733 of the family's 1533-position model. Lineage: Bacteria; Bacillati; Bacillota; Bacilli; Caryophanales; Bacillaceae. The record is from RNAcentral.